This 492-nucleotide ribosomal RNA is filed under the name uncultured bacterium. RNAcentral's name for it is "bacterial SSU rRNA". It matches the Rfam family "Bacterial small subunit ribosomal RNA", at positions 15 to 507 of the family's 1533-position model. The record is from RNAcentral.
GAUCAUGGCUCAGGAUGAACGCUAGCGGCAGGCCUAAUACAUGCAAGUCGAACGGUAAGGCCCUUUCGGGGGUACACGAGUGGCGGACGGGUGCGUAACGCGUAUGCAACAUACCUUCAAGCGGGGGAUAUGCCAGGGAAACUUGGUGCAACACCCCAUAGCAUUUCGGGACCGCAUGGUCUUGGGAUUAAAUAUUUAUAGCUUGGAGAUUGGCAUGCGUGACAUUAGCUAGUUGGCGGGGUAACGGCCCACCAAGGCGACGAUGUCUAGCUGGUCUGAGAGGAUGAUCAGCCACACUGGGACUGAGACACGGCCCAGACUCCUACGGGAGGCAGCAGUAGGGAAUAUUGGACAAUGGGGGGAACCCUGAUCCAGCCAUGCCGCGUGAGGGAAGAAGGUCCUCUGGAUUGUAAACCUCUUUUGGCGGGGGACAAACCUGCACUAUACGUGCAGCUGAGGGUACCCGCAGAAUAAGCACCGGCUAACUCCGUG